This is a long non-coding RNA of Callithrix jacchus (white-tufted-ear marmoset), 1034 nucleotides long. RefSeq lists it as uncharacterized. Lineage: Eukaryota; Metazoa; Chordata; Mammalia; Primates; Cebidae. The record is from RefSeq and is a predicted model, not a curated record.
AAUUUUUUUUUUUUUUUUUGCUUUAACACCACAGAGUUUACAGCUACUACAGCAGCUAUAAGAAACAAGGAAGAUGAAAACAUGGAAAGAAGAGGUUCAAGAAAUCCUCCCACCUCAGCCUCCCGAGUAGCUGAGACUACAGGCAUGCACCACCCCACCCAGAGCAAACACUCCUGGAAACACAUUCCUUGUGGUAACCUGAAACCCUCCAUGUGGGCAAGAUUCUGAUUGAUUUCAGCAGAACAAAGAGACAAUUUCAUCUCAUUUGAAACCCAGAUGAAGUGCUCCAUAUUUCAUUUUAAAUUGGGAGUGAUAAUGGUUGGGUGGUCAGUACUUCAAGAGAAGAGGGGGAAAAGCCCAACAAUAUUGAGCAGUGCUAGUGUACAGUGGCUACUUUUCUGGGCUGGAACUGGUUAACUAAGAAUUGAAAAGUCACCCUCUGGUAGCCUGAACAGGAACCUUCAGUCUGCAAACACUUAUUCCCAUCAACACUGCUCCAAGGAGGUGCCGAAACGCUGGGUGCCUCAUUCUGAUCUUGUGUCUGUCCUGGUAUGAAUUAACAGAGGGGAACAGGAAAUGGAUCGACACUGUUCAUAAGUAAGGAGGCCAAGCAGGAGUGGGGGUCCUUCUGCUUUCAAUCAAGAGAGAGGGUACAAUCUGAGGCGUCAUCAGUGCAUCUCAACCAUCGGUAAACCCAGGUUUCUGCAGGGAGCUGGGAUUCUUUAUGGAUGGAAUUACAUACUUUGUGAGUGAGAAUUAUUUCUUGUAUAGAAUACCCAUUCACUUACAGCAAAAAUGUGGGUGGAGGGAAACAAAUGGGACUGAUAAAUUUGGCAUUGGCCCAACAGAGAAAUCAUUAUUAUCAACAUCAUUUUUAUUAAUAUUAUUUAAUAGCAAUUUUGUUUCCAAUUGCCAAUUUGGAAGACCCAGAGAAAGAUACAAAAUCAUUGCCUUUCAUGGAGAUGUUUAGAAUCCAGGAACUUAGAAGAAAUUUAUUCUCUGCCACUGGAUUGUUUGUCUUGUAAUAAACGCUG